This 460-nucleotide ribosomal RNA is filed under the name uncultured bacterium. RNAcentral's name for it is "partial 16S ribosomal RNA". It matches the Rfam family "Bacterial small subunit ribosomal RNA", at positions 338 to 795 of the family's 1533-position model. The record is from RNAcentral.
CCUACGGGUGGCAGCAGUGAGGAAUAUUGGUCAAUGGCCGCAGGCCUGACCCAGCCAAGUCGCGUGAGGGAUGACGGCCCUCUGGUUUGUAAACUUCUUUUGUAAGGGAGCAACGUGCGACACUUGUGGCUCUUUGCGCGUACUUUAAGAACAAGCAUCGGCUAACUCCGUGCCAGCAGCCGCGGGAAUACGUAGGAUGCGAGCGUUAUCCGGAUUUAUUGGGGGUAAAGGGAGGGCAGGUGGGAUGUCAAGUCAGUGGUGAAAGUUCGGGGGUCAACCCCGGGAGUGCAUUUGAAAUGGGCGUUCUUGAGUGAUGGAGAGGUAGGCGGAAUGCGGGGUGUAGCGGUGAAAUGCGUAGAUAUCACGAAGAACACCGAUGGCGAAGGCAGCAUACUGGCCCGCAACUGACGCUGAUGCGCGAAAGCGUGGGUAGCGAACAGGAUUAGAUACCCGAGUAGUC